GCUGGGCGUGGUGGCUCACGCCUGUAAUCCCAACACUUUGGGAGGCUGAGGCGGGUGGAUCACUUGAGGUCAGGAGUUCCAGACCAGCCUGGCCAACAUGGUGAAACCCCGUCUCUA
Macaca fascicularis (crab-eating macaque) is the source of this 117-nucleotide unclassified non-coding RNA. It matches the Rfam family "Metazoan signal recognition particle RNA". From Rfam's summary of the family: The signal recognition particle (SRP) is a universally conserved ribonucleoprotein. It is involved in the co-translational targeting of proteins to membranes. The record is from Ensembl. NCBI's taxonomy places the organism in Eukaryota, Metazoa, Chordata, Mammalia, Primates, Cercopithecidae.